This 361-nucleotide unclassified non-coding RNA is filed under the name Hevea brasiliensis (rubber tree). The record is from RNAcentral. Lineage: Eukaryota; Viridiplantae; Streptophyta; Magnoliopsida; Malpighiales; Euphorbiaceae.
GGGUGGGGGUGGUUUAAUGUGUUUAAUUUAGUUAAUGAGAAAAUACAGUCAUGUUCCUGAUAAUAUGUUCAACAAUCUAUGUAUCGAAGUCUUCUUUCUGCAGUGAAACUUGAACUUUGAACUUUUUUAUACUUCUGUUAGUAUUCCUUUUGGUUCACUGUAGUCCCAUGUUAUGAGAUAUAUUUCUUUUUUGACUUUUUGACCAGCAUAAUGGCUUGGACCAGAGAGGUGAUAAUUCCUUGUGGUUUCUUGUGAUUAUCUUUUCUCAUUAAUCUGCACAUAAUGGCUGGAAUAUACAAGUAUUGUUGUGCCAUGAACUUUUUUUUUUUUUUAGUGGCAUGUUUUCUUAUCAACAUUUUUU